UCGCUGUAGCUCGAUCAGCACACAGACGAUAGCUGGCUUCUAGUUGUAGAACAACCUYGGUCUCUACUUCAAAACAACUUCCAAAAUGAACUCAAAAGUAUUAAUCCUUCUCGUUGUUGUACUAGCAGCCACAUUUAUUACAGAAAGUGAAGGGUUUACGGCAGGAGCUGGAAAUAUAGGACGACGAGGACUGACAAGAGUACGGUUUGAAGGACUUUGCAGCGCCCUCGCCACAUACUGCACAGAAUUACCCGUCCAAAGACGAUUCACMGCCGAGUCGACAAAAGACCACGAAUGAACACAGAAUUAUAAUUAUUUAGAAUAAUGGAAAACAGAAGCAAUUGCUACYACCGGAAUUUCAAAUACYAAUACCCCCCUCAGUAAUACCUGGGACCAUCGAUCAACGACACAAGUUGUAAAUUUGUCAAUGUUUCAAUAAAUUAUUUGCAGCUGCAAA
This is a long non-coding RNA of Exaiptasia diaphana, 457 nucleotides long. RefSeq lists it as uncharacterized. The record is from RefSeq and is a predicted model, not a curated record. The transcript has 2 exons. Lineage: Eukaryota; Metazoa; Cnidaria; Anthozoa; Actiniaria; Aiptasiidae.